CAAGAAGGAGAGUAAGUCCUGCUGAGGGAGUAAAAUCACCAGCGGCACGAUCCAGCAAUUGGUUCUUGCUGCUGAUGAAUACUAAAGAGUCCUUGGCGAUCCUGCAUGCAGUUGUGCUAGAGAGCAUCAAAGUGGCCUCAAGAAGGAGAUAUUUGUGGAAGAAGCCAUUCACAAGUAAAGAGAAGUGCCAGGGAAAGGAGCUUUCAGACCGGCUGCUGUGGGAGCAAGAAAUUUAAGGGCUUUUAGGUACUCCUGCUGUAAUGCUGGGUGUCACUUCAGAGAUCUUCAGAGGUCGCUGAGUUGCAAGUAGCUGUCAAUUCGUGAGACCUGAGUAGGCAUCAUGUAGCAGUUUGGCACGCAGCACUACUGCAAUCAACACUAAUUUUGCCUAUAAACAGAUUCUUCUUGAGCUGUCGAAAAUGGCAUCACUUUCUGAGCAAUUUACUUUCUCUACCUUCCAGUAUGCCACAAGCCAUUCUACUCACUGAAGACACUAUACAGGAACAAAACAAACCUUUCAGAUUCUGGAAAUCACAUUGUUAACUUCAAAAUUUAAGCAAAGGGUUAUCCAUAUAAAGACAGUGGGUGAGAACUGCAUAUUUAUUCUAAAUAGAUCCUGAAAGAUCAUGCAAUUGUUUGUCAUCAACCUUCAGA
This is a long non-coding RNA of Gallus gallus (chicken), 654 nucleotides long. Lineage: Eukaryota; Metazoa; Chordata; Aves; Galliformes; Phasianidae. The record is from Ensembl.